RNAcentral lists this ribosomal RNA (501 nucleotides) under uncultured bacterium. RNAcentral's name for it is "bacterial SSU rRNA". It matches the Rfam family "Bacterial small subunit ribosomal RNA", at positions 28 to 517 of the family's 1533-position model. The record is from RNAcentral.
GAUGAACGCUAGCUACAGGCUUAACACAUGCAAGUCGAGGGGAAACGAUAUUGGAAGCUUGCUUCCGAUAGGCGUCGACCGGCGCACGGGUGAGUAACGCGUAUCCAACCUGCCCAUCACUUGGGGAUAACCUUGCGAAAGUAAGACUAAUACCCAAUGACGUCUCUAGAAGACAUCUGAAAGAGAUUAAAGAUUUAUCGGUGAUGGAUGGGGAUGCGUCUGAUUAGCUUGUUGGCGGGGUAACGGCCCACCAAGGCGACGAUCAGUAGCCGGCCUGAGAGGGUGAACGGCCACAUUGGGACUGAGACACGGCCCAAACUCCUACGGGAGGCAGCAGUGGGGAAUAUUGCACAAUGGGGGAAACCCUGAUGCAGCCAAGUAGCGUGAAGGAUGAAGGUUCUAUGGAUUGUAAACUUCUUUUAUACGGGAUAAACGGAUCCACGUGUGGAUUUUUGCAUGUACCGUAUGAAUAAGGAUCGGCUAACUCCGUGCCAGCAGCCG